CCUACGGGAGGCUGCAGUGGGGGAUAUUGCACAAUGGGGGGAACCCUGAUGCAGCGACGCCGCGUGGGUGAAGAAGCGCCUCGGCGCGUAAAGCCCUGUCAGCAGGGAAGAAAAUGACGGUACCUAAAGACGAAGCCCCGGCUAACUACGUGCCAGCCGCCGCGGUAAUACGUAGGGGGCAAGCGUAAUCCGGAUUUACUGGGUGUAAGGGGGGCGCAGACGGGGUUGCAAGCCAGGCGUGAAAGCCCGGGGCCCAACCCCGGGACUGCUCGUGGAACUGCGUGGCUGGAGUGCAGGAGGGGCAGGCGGAAUUCCUGGUGUAGCGGUGAAAUGCGUAGAUAUCAGGAGGAACACCGGUGGCGAAGGCGGCCUGCUGGACUGCAACUGACGUUGAGGCCCGAAAGCGUGGGGAGCAAACAGGAUUAGAUACCCGGGUAGUC
This 440-nucleotide ribosomal RNA is filed under the name uncultured bacterium. RNAcentral describes it as "partial 16S ribosomal RNA". It matches the Rfam family "Bacterial small subunit ribosomal RNA", at positions 338 to 795 of the family's 1533-position model. The record is from RNAcentral.